UAGGGAAUCUUCGGCAAUGGACGAAAGUCUGACCGAGCAACGCCGCGUGAGUGAAGAAGGUUUCCGGAUCGUAAAACUCUGUUGGUAGAGAAGAACGUUGGUGAGAGUGGAAAGCUCAUCAAGUGACGGUAACUACCCAGAAAGGGACGGCUAACUACGUGCCGG
RNAcentral lists this ribosomal RNA (165 nucleotides) under uncultured bacterium. Its description in RNAcentral is "partial 16S rRNA". It matches the Rfam family "Bacterial small subunit ribosomal RNA", at positions 355 to 511 of the family's 1533-position model. The record is from RNAcentral.